UCAGCCUGCAGAACAACAGCAACAGCAACCCUUCUUCCCUUGGCUUUCUCCCUGCCUGCCUGCUCCCAAGAGCAGCCUUUCCUGCCUUCCUUAACUUUACAUCUUCUGCAGAGGACAGGGAGCACCAACUGCACAUCAUUCAGAGGAUUAAUGAACAACUUUUCCUUGAUAAUUCACCCCACCAAGUCACCCUACCAAGUCACCAACCCACUCACAAUCUCUGAACAGAAGGCACUUAUGGGUGCUGCUGAGGUUUCACCAAUCCCUUUUUUCUUAUAAUGCCCCAAACUGUUCCCUUUUCAACACAGCAGGCAAAGAACAACAGAGAUGGCCAUUACAGUCCUGGGAGCCCCCUUCAGCUGUGACACUGCUGCACACAGGUCAGGCAGCCUGGACUCUGCUGGAGACAGAGCACUGGCCAGGAGCCACUCUCCAGAAAUCAGCAGGACUGAACAUCCUCACCACAAGCAAGAACAGCAGCAGCACAAGGCACUCAAGAGACAGUGAUGUCUCAGCAACACCUGGAGCCCUCUUAAAACACCAACAGCCAGAGAUUUCCUCUCCCUGGAAGUGCCCAAGGCCAGGCUUGACAGGGCUUGGAGCAACCUGGUCUAGUGCAAGGUGUCUGUGCCCUGGCAGGGUGUGGAAUGAGAUGAGCUGUAAGGUUCCUCCUAACCUGAACUAUUUGAGGAUUCUGUGGUUUAAGAAGAGUCUCUUGUCCUCACCCCUUCCCUUGUGGAUCUUUUGGAACUCUAGAUACCUCACCCCCAGACCACCUUCCCCUUUCCCAGCACCCCCUGUGUUCACCUGCUGUGACACCAACCCAGGGUGGAAUCCCACACUUUGCCUCUGAAAUAUUGCCCCACCCCAAGAACAGCCCCCAGACCCUUUGAAACAAGCAGCAAUCCCAAACUGCCUUUCCAGUCACCUGCUGCUGGUUACCCCUGACCAGAUCCCAGAGAGGAAAGGGAACAGGGUCUGAACUCCCCAUGGAAGCCCACCCAGGAGCUGUGGGCUGUGAACUGCAGUGGAGGGUCACUGUGACCAUACUGUGAGGAUGGGACAUCCCAAACACAGCCAACCUGACUGCCACAGGAAGGAGCAGGUGGGAAGAGAUGUGACUGGCAUUCCCACCAAAGGAAGGGUUAACACACCCACCCUUUAACAGACAAAGUGAAGAUGCUGGACACUCAUCUUUCCUCCUCCAGUGGCUCACCCCAGGUUUCUGGGGCUGUCCCUGCUCAUGUAGGCAGGGAGGGCUCCAACUCUCCCCCACUGCUGCCUCUCCCAGUUUUGCCCUGUGACAGAUAAAUGCCAGCCUGUCUGGAGCUGGGCUUGGCUCACUGUGGCUCCAUGCUGGGGCAGGCUGUGUUUCAGGAUGUGCUCCAGCUGUGAUUCCCUCCCCAGGCCCCUUGGGAGAGCAAGGCUGAGCACACGAAGCCCUGGGAACCAUAUGCAGAAACAAGAGAAAAGGAAAAAUAAAGGGAGAGCUUUCCUCUUCACUCCAGCAGGAUUUUGGUUUUUUCAAACCAAAUUUUGCAAGAUGCCUUUGCUGGUUUUCCUCUCCCCUUUUCUCAGUUAGUGCUGGUAGUGGUGGAAACUUCCUGCUGGAGAGGCAGGGCCGGGGCUGGUGCACGUGGGCAGGGACCCACUCCAGCCUGGGAAGCAGGGCUGAGGUACCCCAGUGGAAAAGCUGGCUGACUCUGGACUCAGCCUUGAAUUAAAGCACAAUCAAUACCUUUGCAAUGAAGUUUAUAUCUCCAUUUUCAAACAAAGCAAACAAACCCAGGUGAAACAAGGAAACACACCACGUCACACCCCCUUUCUUAUCUCUCUAUUUACUUCCCAACAAUUUGGAAAGUUCAGGACCUUUUCCUGCUAUUUUUUAUCCAAUUACUCAGUCUGAACUGUGGAACUCCUUGCCAGAAUAUGGUGUGGGUGAGGGAUUUCUGUAGAAUAAAAAAAAUCACUGAGCGCUUUAAAGACAAAUAUAUUCCUCAAAAACCCAGAAGGGGAUUGCCAGAGGAAAUAAAAGUAUUUUGGGGAAGUAACACUCACCUUUUUACCCUAUCCUUACACAAUUCCCUAGACAUCUGCAGAUGAGCCUGUGCUCUGACCCAGUGCAGCUGUUAUGUGGAUCAGAAGUAACACAAAAAGGGAACAUUGAAAAUGUAACAUGAAACUCUAAAUUUUAGGCUCAGCACCAGUACCUGUUACAUGCACACUUCAGCACACACUCCCUACAAGGCAAAGGAUGUUGCCCCCUUCAAAAGAUAACUUAGACACAAUGGAGAUCUGUGGAAAAAAAAGCAAAUUCCUCUUGGAUUAGCAU
Molecule: long non-coding RNA, 2332 nt
Organism: Passer domesticus (house sparrow)
Lineage: Eukaryota; Metazoa; Chordata; Aves; Passeriformes; Passeridae
Exons: 2
Source: RefSeq, a predicted model, not a curated record